UCUAUCCUAUACUGGGGGAUAGCCCGAUGAAAGUUGGAUUAAUACCGCAUAUAGCUAUAUAGUUGCAUGAUUAUGUAGUGAAAGAUUUAUUGGUAUAGGAGGAGUCUGCGGCACAUUAGCUAGUAGGUGAGGUAAAGGCUUACCUAGGCGACGAUGUGUAGCCGGUCUGAGAGGAUGAACGGCCACAAUGGAACUGAGACACGGUCCAUACUCCUACGGGAGGCAGCAGUGGGGAAUAUUGCACAAUGGGGGAAACCCUGAUGCAGCAACGCCGCGUGAGUGAAGAAGGUUUUCGGAUUGUAAAGCUCUGUUAGCAGGGAAGAGGAAGGACGGUACCUGCAGAGGAAGCCACGGCUAACUACGUGCCAGCAGCCGCGGUAAUACGUAGGUGGCAAGCGUUGUUCGGAAUAACUGGGCGUAAAGGAUGCGUAGGCGGUUAAACAAGUUAUAUGUUAAAUAUAUAGGCUUAACCUGUAGAAAGCAUAUAAAACUGUUUAACUAGAGUGCAUGAGAGGUAAGUGGAAUUCCUAGUGUAGCGGUGAAAUGCGU
RNAcentral lists this ribosomal RNA (549 nucleotides) under uncultured bacterium. RNAcentral's name for it is "bacterial SSU rRNA". It matches the Rfam family "Bacterial small subunit ribosomal RNA", at positions 125 to 691 of the family's 1533-position model. The record is from RNAcentral.